UAGGGAAUCUUCGGCAAUGGACGAAAGUCUGACCGAGCAACGCCGCGUGAGUGAAGAAGGUUUUCGGAUCGUAAAACUCUGUUGUUAGAGAAGAACAAGGACGUUAGUAACUGAACGUCCCCUGACGGUAUCUAACCAGAAAGCCACGGCUAACUACGUGCCAGCAGCCGCGGUAAUACGUAGGUGGCAAGCGUUGUCCGGAUUUAUUGGGCGUAAAGCGAGCGCAGGCGGGUUCUUAAGUCUGAUGUGAAAGCCCCCGGCUCAACCGGGGAGGGUCAUUGGAAACAGGGAGACUUGAGUGCAGAAGAGGAGAGUGGAAUUCCAUGUGUAGCGGUGAAAUGCGUAGAUAUAUGGAGGAACACCAGUGGCGAAGGCGGCUCUCUGGUCUGUAACUGACGCUGAGGCUCGAAAGCGUGGGGAGCAAACAGG
Molecule: ribosomal RNA, 429 nt
Filed under: Gemmatimonadota bacterium
Lineage: Bacteria; Pseudomonadati; Gemmatimonadota
Description: Gemmatimonadetes bacterium partial 16S ribosomal RNA
Rfam family: Bacterial small subunit ribosomal RNA
Source: RNAcentral